This 89-nucleotide transfer RNA is filed under the name Clostridiales bacterium. RNAcentral describes it as "tRNA_Ser_GCT". It matches the Rfam family "tRNA". From Rfam's summary of the family: Transfer RNA (tRNA) molecules are approximately 80 nucleotides in length. Their secondary structure includes four short double-helical elements and three loops (D, anti-codon, and T loops). Lineage: Bacteria; Bacillati; Bacillota; Clostridia; Eubacteriales. The record is from RNAcentral.
GGAGAAGUACCCAAGUGGCCGAAGGGGCUCCCCUGCUAAGGGAGUAGGAUCCGUUGAGGGUCGCCCGGGUUCAAAUCCCGGCUUCUCCG